RNAcentral lists this ribosomal RNA (252 nucleotides) under uncultured bacterium. RNAcentral describes it as "partial 16S ribosomal RNA". It matches the Rfam family "Bacterial small subunit ribosomal RNA", at positions 525 to 776 of the family's 1533-position model. The record is from RNAcentral.
ACGUAGGGUGCAAGCGUUAAUCGGAAUUACUGGGCGUAAAGCGUGCGCAGGCGGUUUUGUAAGUUUGUCGUGAAAGCCCCGGGCUCAACCUGGGAAUUGCGAUGAAGACUGCAAGGCUUGAAUCUGGCAGAGGGGGGUAGAAUUCCACGUGUAGCAGUGAAAUGCGUAGAGAUGUGGAGGAACACCGAUGGCGAAGGCAGCCCCCUGGGUCAAGAUUGACGCUCAUGCACGAAAGCGUGGGGAGCAAACAGG